GGCAUUGUGCCAGAGUGGUUAAUGGGUAAGACUCGAACUUCAACGUUAUCUUAUGGCCUCGGCCGCACAGGUUCGAAUCCUGUCAAUGUCG
Molecule: non-coding RNA, 91 nt
Organism: Pestalotiopsis sp. NC0098
Lineage: Eukaryota; Fungi; Ascomycota; Sordariomycetes; Amphisphaeriales; Sporocadaceae
Source: the annotation of a GenBank genome assembly